RNA transcript from Nymphaea colorata (pocket water lily), 6293 nucleotides. It is a transcript of the gene named sucrose transport protein SUT4, with no coding region annotated. The record is from RefSeq and is a predicted model, not a curated record. The transcript is spliced from 16 exons. NCBI's taxonomy places the organism in Eukaryota, Viridiplantae, Streptophyta, Magnoliopsida, Nymphaeales, Nymphaeaceae.
CCGCAUCAACUCCGAUCCUAACAAUCAGCGAACAUCCUCGGCCUCCGAACAUUACAUCUGCCGCGGGUUCGUAGAGGUAGUCGUAUUGAAUCUCUAUCUCUUACUUAAGCCGACGGCCGGGCCAGCCCCUCUUCGGCGUCUUCGCUCCCCUCGCUGGCUGUCUCCUUAUCUCUCUCAGGUUUCCUAUAAAGCCUUGGAAAACCUUUAAAGCUGUGGGUGAAGAUCUUCCAUGGAGAUAACGUCGAGGACAGAUCUGAGAUAUCGAUAGGUUCUCAUUGUUUUUCUUGGUCGGCGACACAAUGGAGCCCGGUUCAAUAAGGGUACCUUACCGGCACCUGAAGGAGGAGGAGCUUGAGCUCGUCACCAUAAACGGAUCUGAAGAUCAGAUAGAUCCUAGCCCAGGAAGCACUCCACCGAAGCCGGACCAGCGCUCUCCGUCGAAAUCUACCAGUCUCAAGACAUUGAUCUUCACUUGCAUGGUCGCCGCUGGAGUUCAGUUCGGCUGGGCCCUUCAGUUGUCCCUCUUGACUCCCUAUAUCCAGGCUCGCGAGCUCGACCAACGAUCUCCCAAUGGAAGGCACAAAUGGAGGGAGCGUUGGAGAUCCACUUUGGAGACACUUGGAAUAGGGCAUGCAUUCUCUUCGUUCAUCUGGCUUUGUGGACCCAUUACAGGCCUUGUGGUUCAACCAUGUGUUGGUAUUUGGAGUGAUAAAUGCAGAUCAAGAUAUGGUAGGAGACGUCCUUUUAUUUUCCUUGGGUCUCUCAUGAUCUGUAUAGCAGUUAUAAUUAUAGGAUUCUCUGCGGAUAUUGGAUAUCUACUGGGUGAUACUAAGGAGCAUUGCAGCACUUAUAGAGGCACUCGGACACGAGCUGCUAUCAUAUUUAUAAUUGGAUUUUGGAUGCUGGACCUUGCUAAUAAUACUGUCCAAGGCCCAGCACGUGCUCUGCUAGCUGAUCUCUCAGGUCCAGAUCAACGACAUUUAGCAAAUGCAAUAUUUUGCUCAUGGAUGGCAGCUGGAAAUAUUCUUGGUUAUUCUUCUGGAGCUAGUGGAAAUUGGCACAGGUGGUUCCCUUUCCUAACAACUAAGGCAUGUUGUGAAGCAUGUGGCAAUCUGAAAGCAGCCUUUCUUGUAGCUGUGGUAUUUUUAAUUUUUUGCACCAUUGUGACCCUCUAUUCAGCUAAAGAGAUCCCAUUACAUGGAACUGCAUCAUCAACAUCGUUCGAUUCUGCUCCACUGUUAAAUAGCAGACAUUCAAUAUCAAAUGAUGGUAACGGGAAGUUGGAUGAGAAUUGUUUGUCUGAGGCAAGCAAGUGGACUUCAACUAUUUCUGGGAAUUCAGUACCUUUGGAAGCCAAAAUGGAUGAGAAGGAAGCCUUUCUUGAUGGACCUGGAGCUGUUCUGAUCAAUUUUCUUACAAGUUUGAGGCGUUUGCCAUCUACCAUGCAUCCUGUACUUAUUGUUAUGGCACUUAGUUGGUUAUCAUGGUUCCCAUUCUUCCUUUUUGAUACGGACUGGAUGGGACGUGAAGUUUAUCAUGGUGAUCCAAAAGGGCAUCCUUCUGAAGUCAAAGCUUAUGAUAAAGGUGUCAGAGAAGGUGCAUUUGGUUUGCUAUUGAAUUCAGUUGUUCUGGGGAUCAGUUCACUUCUUAUAGAACCAAUGUGUAAACGUCUAGGUGCAAAGCUUGUAUGGGUGAUGAGCAAUUUUAUUGUAUUUAUCUGCAUGUUAGCAACGGCAGUUAUAAGUUUGCUGUCCAUCAGGGAGUACUCCAAUAGAAUCGAGCACAUACUUGGUGAUAAUUCAAAAGUCAAGGCUGCUGCUCUAUUUGUGUUUGCACUACUUGGAUUCCCGCUUGCUAUUACUUUCAGCGUCCCUUUUUCCAUAACUGCAGUGCUGACUGCUGAUACUGGUGGUGGCCAAGGCUUGGCUACAGGUGUAUUAAACCUUGCUAUUGUCAUUCCUCAGUUCCUGUAGGUGCAAACACAGGCACGUGCACACCGCGGGCGGCCUACAGCCGAGAGACAACCCCUAUGGUGGCCCAGAACAGUAUAGAUCCGUUCAUCCGCUGCAUCGGUAGAACACUCAUCCAUGGAUGUAUGAAUUCCAAGGAGAGAUACUCAGUCUUCCCUAGGACACCCAGGUUGGGAAUGUGGGAGUCUAUGCUCCAAGCACAUCACACAACAGUACCCUGGGGCCUUGCACCGUCUGCGCUCCGAACAGGCGAGACCAGUGGCGAAGGCGGGACAACUCCCAAACACAUAGCCACAUCCCACUGGCCUCUCAUCUCUUAUUCUUUCAUUCUUACAAUUAUACUUGCACAAACACAAAUAACUGGCUAGCUCAUGAGGUUGGUUCACUUCACGAGUGGACUCACACCUCCAAUUGCCUCCACACGAGGGCUACACAUAACAACAACAGUUUUGGCUAGCUGUCUCAACAAUAUGGGUACAACUACCUUCUGUUCAAUCAUUUGCAUCAUUGCCCGCGGCAAUGUGUAUUCAACAAACACAACAUUCACAUUCAUUAUUACAAUAAUCACAUCUUUGAAAAACUUAGCCAAACCACAGAGAGUAGUCUCGAUCUGUGAUGGGCUCGUAGCUGUCCUAUGCAGUUAUCAUUUUAGGAUGCUUUAUAAUGCACAAUUGGGGUCGAGGAGACACUCGAUUCGAUACCCCACCUCAUUUGUCCUAAACAGUUAUCAAUUCUAGCAUGCACAUGCAAAUGCAUGAUAUUUCAAAACAGACUUGUAAUAGCUUUUCAAAACACAUCAUAUCAGAUAUCAAACCAUUUGCAUGCACACACACAUUCAUUCACCAAACAAUCAAUCAAUCAAUCACAAUCCUAGGAUCCCAUGAUCCUAGGAACACACAUUCACACAUUGCCCUAGGCAAGGAUUUGCCUGGAAUGCUGCCAUACUAGUCACGCAUCCAGAAAAUUCUCCAAAAUGUCUCGAGCUUCGAAUAUGGUCGCUCAAGGUCGACGGGACGUGCCCGGUGUACCUGCAGACAAGGAAAAAGGUAAGAUCUCUACUAAUUAGCUUAUCAAUCCAAACCAAGCUAAAACAAAAUCAUUGAGGCACAUAUCAUCGCCUCAAGAGGGUGUCGAUGGGUAGUGUCGACCUACAAGCCCUCCAAUAGGCCUCCUCCUAACUUCUUGACGUUACCACGAGACCCUAAAACUCAAUGCUUCGCUCAGUCCAUCCUUAACACAUUCUUAAAUGCUUUCUGUAGUCUAGGCGUCAACCCCAUUGUCACAUCCAACUUAGGUACACUUUCCCCAAAUAACUCCAAGAUACGGCCGCUCGCAAAAGCGUGAGCCACGUGCUCAAAAGGAUGGUUCUAAAUCUUCCCUACAACAUCACAAUCCCUACCAUGCUUCCCUAUUACUUCAAAAAUCAACACCUUGAGCCUAAGAGAUCAAUAAAUACAUGAAUCAACGCUUCUCCAACAUAAUCCUACACUUUCCCCAAAAAGCAAAGUCGCUAACAUGCAUUCCAAAACAUCAAUUCUACCUUCUAGCAUGCUUUAACAAUAAUUAUACGCGUUCCAAAGGAAAAUAUACAAGAAAUAGGCUCAAUUACGCCUUGCUCACCCCAAAUCAAGAGUCUAGACUGCUGCAAUCCUUCCGGCAGCCACCUCAAGCAUUCAAUCGAUCCCCAAACGGCAAAAAUCGUGCCAAGUCGCCACCAUCAACACCACCUAAUCGCUGUUAUGAGGGGAAGAACACGUUCCCCAAGCUGGAAUCCUAUCAAACAGUGAUGAAAUCAAUGAGGAAGAGUGCUCGGUUGGGGAAAAGGGGGAAAACAAAUAGAAAAAUGGGGAGAGAGAGCUCACGUAGGGAGCGUGUGGGCAGGGAGAGGCGCUGACAGAAUUGGGAAACAGAGAGAGAGGGUUCGGACCACAAAAAGGGGAAAACGGCAGUGAGGGUGAGAGUGCGUGAGUAGGGGGAAGAAAACGUGAGGGUGAGGGUGAGUGAGGAGAGGGACCAUACGGGAGGGAGCUAACGGAAAAGGGAAAAGAGAGUAGCGAGAAAGAGAAAGAGGGAACGUGCGGCAGAGAAGGCAAGAGAGCGUGGGGGUGGCGGAUAAGGGAAAUAGCACGAGAGAGAGAGUGUUUACCCAAGCGCCGCCGCAGUCGCCGCCGUCAGUCCAGCCACCACCACUACCACACCGUCCGCCCACUUCUUCUCCGCGUGGAGCUCCUUAGCAGCAAGAGAGGCAACGAAGGGGGAGAGCGAGAGGAGGACGAGGGAGAACAGCCCUCGUCGGGCUCUUACGUGGGUAAGCUGCGGGUCCGGGUCUGGGUCCCGAUCCGACCCGACCUGCCCAAAAACAUAACGAGCGUUACAGCAAGCCUAUUGGUUUUCUCACUUUUCUGUAACAGCUGAUUGCUUAUUGUUUUAUUCUUUGAGUUUUCUGUUCAUUGUAUUUUUUUUUUGUUUUGCAUUUUUUAUUAUUUUUUUAUGGGAUUACAGUUAUGAACUAUUAAUGUUUUUUUUUCAAUUUAUCAUUUUUGAGAAUUUAAAAAUUUGUCGUACCCGCAUACCCAUAAUUUACAAAAUUGUCAUACCCGUACUGUACCCACAUCCAUGUGACAUAACAUAUCGCCAGUUGGACCAUCUUGAAGUAGUUGGCUUCUCAGGUGCUGAGUUAGGAGGAUGUCUUGAUAGAAAGAAAUCUACUACAGAAUAUAUCUUCUUUGUAACUAGAGUGUCAUUUCAUGGAGUAGCAAGAAGCAAAUUGUUAUUGUUGUUCAUAUAAUGGAAGCAGAGUUUGCAUUAUAUUAGACUACAUUGCAAACAAUAUAGAUGAAGAAUUUCAUUUCAUAGCUUAGGGUAAUGGAAUCUAUUGAAAGUCCACUUAAAGUUACUGUGACAGUGAAGCUGUGGUGUCUUUCUUUAAUAACAACAAAAAUGCAACCUUAUAUAAUCAUAUAGAAUUAAAGUACUUUAUUGUUAAAGACAAGACAAAAAUCAUUUAGUGUGGAUUCAGUAAAACAAUACUAAAGAUAUAGUGGCAGAUCCUCUUACUAAAGUGCUAGUGUUGUCUGGAUUAUGUUCUAAACAUGUAACAAGGAUGAGAUUAUUUAAUUCAAUAUAAACGCACCAUAUGUAAUAUAGUGAUUACAUACAGUUUGUUGAUUCUUAUAAAGUUUAAUUGUCUAUUUUAUAUAUUUUUUCAUUAUUUUGUUGUUUGAGGAAUGUAAAACAAUGACUUAAAGAGCAUAAAAUGGAUCUCAAGGCCAAUCCAUUCAUAAAGUAUUUACACACUCAUAUCGAUCAGGACUAGUGGGAGAUUGUUGGGUUGUGUUGGAUCCAGAUCCACCAUAAUAGUCAUCUAUCGAUAAAAAUGAGCGAUUAGAGAUAUAUAAACCAUAGUGUCCUGUGAUGAGAGGGACACGUUACAUACUCUGCCAGUUUGGGUAAACCUGGUCUUUCUCAGCCCUUGUCUGACGAGAUGAUGGCUGAGGGGAGAAGCCCAGCUCCUCCUUCCACUGUUGUAGAUGCAGCUGUUCAUUCAACAACGACCAACAGCCAUGCGGUGGACCCCAACAUAGGUUUGUUUCUUCCCUAGCACCAUAAAAUUUUUAUUUGUUCUUUGCAUCUACCUUUUUGUGAGACCCCAGCAAGUAUGGAAUAACCAGCCAGUCUGCCCAAUGGCAGUGACCCAAGGCAACCGGGCCUGUCUGUGCAUCAGCAUGAUGAUCACCGUCCACACGAACAGGCCCGGUUGCCUUGGGUCAUUGCCAUUGGGCAGGAUAGACAUUAUCUCUUUCCUCCAGAACUCCUUUCUCCCAAACCCUCUCUUUCAUUUUUUUUUUUUUUUUCGAAAUGGCUUCUUGAUCACUGGCAAGGCAGCAACAGUUGGAUGCAUCAGACCCAAGGCUAAGGCCAACUAUGCUUGUGCAUGCCGAUUGUUGUUCUACUCAAUGGCAGAUACCAAACACUGACUGGACCCAUUAGUAUUGAUGGUGUUAGGGAAAAAAACGAACCUGUAUUGGGGACCACUACAUGGCUGUGAGCCGUCAGUUGAAUGAACAGCUGCACAACAGUGGAAGGAGGAGCUGGGCUGUCCCCCUUAGCCAUUGUCUUGCAUGAUGAGGAAGAUACACAGGCUGUGACAAGGGCCAAGAGAGAUGGGGUUUACCCAAACCAACAGAAUGAUAGUUGCCCUGGGAGCUGGACCUUGGGAUGCCCUCUUUGGAGGUGGUAAUGUACCUGCAUUUGUCCUGGCUUCUCUAGCUGCACUUGUCGCGGCUGUUAUUGCAGCCAGGAAACUGCCAAGGCUAUCAAACA